This 465-nucleotide ribosomal RNA is filed under the name Vreelandella stevensii. Its description in RNAcentral is "partial 16S ribosomal RNA". It matches the Rfam family "Bacterial small subunit ribosomal RNA", at positions 338 to 795 of the family's 1533-position model. Lineage: Bacteria; Pseudomonadati; Pseudomonadota; Gammaproteobacteria; Oceanospirillales; Halomonadaceae. The record is from RNAcentral.
CCUACGGGGGGCUGCAGUGGGGAAUAUUGGACAAUGGGGGGAACCCUGAUCCAGCCAUGCCGCGUGUGUGAAGAAGGCCCUCGGGUUGUAAAGCACUUUCAGUGAGGAAGAACGCCUGGUGGUUAAUACCCAUCAGGAAAGACAUCACUCACAGAAGAAGCACCGGCUAACUCUGUGCCAGCAGCCGCGGUAAUACGGAGGGUGCGAGCGUUAAUCGGAAUUACUGGGCGUAAAGCGCGCGUAGGUGGCUUGAUAAGCCGGUUGUGAAAGCCCCGGGCUCAACCUGGGAACGGCAUCCGGAACUGUCCAGCUAGAGUGCCGGAGAGGAAGGUAGAAUUCCCGGUGUAGCGGUGAAAUGCGUAGAGAUCGGGAGGAAUACCAGUGGCGAAGGCGGCCUUCUGGACUGACACUGACACUGAGGUGCGAAAGCGUGGGUAGCAAACAGGAUUAGAUACCCCAGUAGUC